GCGGGUAUAGCUCAGUGGUAGAGCACAUGCUUAGCAUGCACAAGGUCCUGGGUUCAACCCCCAGUAUCUCCA
RNAcentral lists this transfer RNA (72 nucleotides) under Camelus bactrianus (Bactrian camel). It matches the Rfam family "tRNA". Rfam says of the family: Transfer RNA (tRNA) molecules are approximately 80 nucleotides in length. Their secondary structure includes four short double-helical elements and three loops (D, anti-codon, and T loops). The record is from Rfam by way of RNAcentral. RNAcentral also lists the same sequence under 1 other name. Lineage: Eukaryota; Metazoa; Chordata; Mammalia; Artiodactyla; Camelidae.